RNAcentral lists this ribosomal RNA (253 nucleotides) under uncultured bacterium. Its description in RNAcentral is "partial 16S ribosomal RNA". It matches the Rfam family "Bacterial small subunit ribosomal RNA", at positions 524 to 776 of the family's 1533-position model. The record is from RNAcentral.
UACGAAGGGGACUAGCGUUGUUCGGAAUUACUGGGCGUAAAGCGCACGUAGGCGGAUUUGUAAGUCAGGGGUGAAAUACCUGGGCUCAACCCGGGAACUGCAGUUGAAACCGCUUGUCUUGAAUACCUGAGAGGGUGGGGGAAUACCUGGUGGAGAAGUGAAAUUCGUAGAGAUCAGGUGGAACACCGGAGGCGAAGGCGCCUGCCUGGCAGUGUAUUGACGCUGAGGUGCGAAAGUGCGGGGAGCAAACAGG